CAUUGGUCGGCCUAUCCCCAGGGGCCGUGGCUGGGCGUGUGUGGGAGUGCUGGCACUGGCACCGUGGGUCGCAGCCACCCCCUUCCCCCUCCCCGUUGUCCCCAGGAGCUGGCUGAUGGAGCACAUGGAGAUGCUGAAGCAGAAGUUCCGCGGUGCCGAGACGUUCCCCAAGGAGCCGGUGACCCGAGCGGGCGGGACGCCCUGCUGCUUUGCUCCCUGUCGCCCGCAGCCACGGCACCUGCGCUGCCUCCCCGCUGCAGCCCAGCUCUGUCGCUGCCCCCCCUCCCCGGUGCAGUAUCCCCCAGUGACUGUGUGGGGUUUGGCACCUGUAGCCGUCCGGACCCCUCGGAGUGCGUGUGAGAGCAUGCCGGCGUGCGUGUGUUGUGGGUGUGCAAGCACACACCUGUGUGUGCCUGUGAGCGUGCAGGCCUCCACGUGUGGGGCCAUGUGAGGGUGUGCACGUGAGUGUGCAGGCGUGCGUGAGUGCACAGGAGCGUGCAGGAGUGCACACGUAUGUGCAUGGGUGUGCAGAUGAACUGCAGAUGUGCAUGUGCAAGUGAGCCUGCAGGCACGCACAUACGUGUGCAUGCAUGUGAGUGCAUGUGCACGAGCAUGCUGGCAUCCGCGCGUGGCUGCGCACGUGAGCACACGGGUGUCCAUGUGGCUGCACCCGUGAGCGUGCAGGCCUCCACGUGAGCGUGCAGGCCCGUGCUUGCCUGGGAGCGUGUUGACACCCCUGGCAAUGUGGUGGUGGCCGAUUCCUGCUCGCAAACAUUGCGACAGCUGCGGCCCCGCACCCGGCCCGGGGGCAAACAGACCUUUGGCUCCAGCGCUGUGGGGAGAGAGGCAGCGCUGGGGGGGGGACAGCGUCCACCUGGAUCAGGGUGGCGGGGGACCCCUGCUCCCCCUGGGGGCCCCAGACAUGCACCAUGUGCUCAUGGGUGUGUGCGCUUGUGCAGGGGGCCGUGUGGGCAGGUGCUUUUGGGUGCCUGUGCACCGGGGCCAUGUGAAUGGGUGCUUGCAGAGUUGCAGCAAGCGUGCGCCGGGCGCGCCUUGCAAGCAGGGUUGGUCAGGCUGUGUGCACGCGCAUGGAUGUGCAGGUGUGUGCGUGCAUACGCGUGUGCAGCUGCCCCUUGGCCGCGCACCCGGGCUCCACUCGGCUCCUGGGGCUGCAGCGUCCCGCUGCCUCAGUCCGGCUGCCGGGGUUCAGGUGCUGGGUGUAGGCGCUGCGUUAGGGUACCACGUCUGGGUGACGGGGCUGGGUGAUGUGUCUGUGUGCCGUCCCCGUGUGCCCCCGGGGGCGGGAGCUGCGGCGCCGAGGGCGCUCGGUGCGGUCAGGGCGGUCAGGGCCGCGGCAGCUCGGCUCUGUUUGCCUGGACUUCGCCCGGGUGCGGGGGCCACGCAGCCGCGCCGCCCCAGGAUCCGGCCCCAUAAAGCGGCAGUCCAGCCGGGCGCGAGGGAGCCGCCGGCACCAGUGUUCUCUGCGUCCCAGCUGUGA
RNAcentral lists this long non-coding RNA (1498 nucleotides) under Dromaius novaehollandiae (emu). RNAcentral's name for it is "lncRNA (ENSDNVG00000006232.1)". The record is from RNAcentral. Lineage: Eukaryota; Metazoa; Chordata; Aves; Casuariiformes; Dromaiidae.